Molecule: non-coding RNA, 455 nt
Organism: Pogona vitticeps (central bearded dragon)
Lineage: Eukaryota; Metazoa; Chordata; Lepidosauria; Squamata; Agamidae
Source: RefSeq, a predicted model, not a curated record
CAGACUUUUGUGCCGGAACCACAGCUUCCAUUCCAGUGCCACCAUUACUGCCAGCAGGCAAAGCAGGAGCAGCUGUGCAGGCCUGGCCUUGAUUAUGGAUUGGAUGAGGGUGAACAGACUGAGUUUCAAUCAUGACAAGAUGGAUAUGUUGUUUUAAGGAUCCCUCAUCAGCUGGUGACCCCGACGUGAUCCUCCAGCUCCCAUCAGCCGAGCCGACAUUCUUCUGAUGUAGGUUCAGCUCCCAUUCACCCUGCUUCCCUCGACUGGAAUAGUCUUCGUGCACCCAGCCCACGGGCUCCCCGGGUAAGUAUGGGUUGCUUAUCUACUAAAGAGCAGCAUCAGAAUGCUGAAGAGUUAAUUGUGAGGCAAAAUGACGGAUGGCAAGUAUCAGGCAAAGAAUUAAUGGAACAGGAGCAACACGCUCGAGAGCUAAGUAGGCUCGUUCAGCAGAAUUG